AGAGUUUGAUCCUGGCUCAGGACGAACGCUGGCGGCGUGCUUAACACAUGCAAGUCGAACGGAAAGGCCCUUCGGGGUGCUCGAGUGGCGAACGGGUGAGUAACACGUGGGUGAUCUGCCCUGCACUUUGGGAUAAGCCUGGGAAACUGGGUCUAAUACCGAAUAGGACCGCGCUCUUCAUGGGGUGUGGUGGAAAGCUUUUGCGGUGUGGGAUGGGCCCGCGGCCUAUCAGCUUGUUGGUGGGGUAAUGGCCUACCAAGGCGACGACGGGUAGCCGGCCUGAGAGGGUGACCGGCCACACUGGGACUGAGAUACGGCCCAGACUCCUACGGGAGGCAGCAGUGGGGAAUAUUGCACAAUGGGCGCAAGCCUGAUGCAGCGACGCCGCGUGAGGGAUGACGGCCUUCGGGUUGUAAACCUCUUUCAAUAGGGACGAAGCGCAAGUGACGGUACCUAUAGAAGAAGGACCGGCCAACUACGUGCCAGCAGCCGCGGUAAUACGUAGGGUCCGAGCGUUGUCCGGAAUUACUGGGCGUAAAGAGCUCGUAGGUGGUUUGUCGCGUUGUUCGUGAAAACUCACAGCUUAACUGUGGGCGUGCGGGCGAUACGGGCAGACUAGAGUACUGCAGGGGAGACUGGAAUUCCUGGUGUAGCGGUGGAAUGCGCAGAUAUCAGGAGGAACACCGGUGGCGAAGGCGGGUCUCUGGGCAGUAACUGACGCUGAGGAGCGAAAGCGUGGGGAGCGAACAGGAUUAGAUACCCCGGUAGUCCAA
RNAcentral lists this ribosomal RNA (773 nucleotides) under uncultured bacterium. Its description in RNAcentral is "bacterial SSU rRNA". It matches the Rfam family "Bacterial small subunit ribosomal RNA", at positions 8 to 798 of the family's 1533-position model. The record is from RNAcentral.